GGAGUUAUGGCUCAGUGGUAGAGCACUCGCCUAGUGCAUGUGAGGCCCUGGGUUCAAUCCUCAGCACCACCA
Ictidomys tridecemlineatus (thirteen-lined ground squirrel) is the source of this 72-nucleotide non-coding RNA. The record is from Rfam. NCBI's taxonomy places the organism in Eukaryota, Metazoa, Chordata, Mammalia, Rodentia, Sciuridae.